UGGAGGACUCCACAAAGUUCACCUCCAUAUUGAACCUCUGUCAAGGAUGGAAGAAGGGAAAAGUCCCUAAAUAUUACAAGCAGCAGUCUCUCCUGAUGUAGCAGUGUCCCUUUUAUUCAAAGGGCUACCUCCACCCUGCCUGAAUGUUCCUGUUGUCUGAGAUGCUGGAGGUCUAGGAGUUUGGCAGAUGGGGAGUGGGCCACUCUUGCAGUUCUCCCUGGGUGGAGCCUCAAGCAGCUGUCAUGGUUUAGACAAAAUUCUCAUUAAAGAAAAAACAACAAGCAGUGUGAGUGUCCUGUUUGCAGAAAUCCAGAAAGUGUCUGCACUAAGAGAGUGGAGCCACCUGCCUCAGAGGUUUGCCCAGGCCAGUCCCAGCUGUCCAGGAGGAACAGAAAGGGAGCCACAGGGAGAACCUGUCAUUUUCUUAGAGCAAUUUGCAGGUCUGCAAUAUUGCUAGUUUGCUGAAUCAGGGCCUCAUCAAGGCGUAUAUCUAACAAAAGCAAGUACUGGGGGAAAAAAGGAUAAAAGUCUAGCAGCAGAACCGUAUGGAAUAUAAUUGGCCACUUUCAGGGCCCUUUAAUCAAACCGACACAGGAGGAGGAUUUAGCCCAGCACUUCAUGCAAACCCUUUAAUUGCUCUGGAUCCAAACCCACCAUUGGUGUGGUGCCAUGUCCCCCGUGGGACACCAGUGGUGGCCAAGGACAAGAA
This 709-nucleotide long non-coding RNA is filed under the name Anser brachyrhynchus (Pink-footed goose). RNAcentral's name for it is "lncRNA (ENSABRG00000012260.1)". Lineage: Eukaryota; Metazoa; Chordata; Aves; Anseriformes; Anatidae. The record is from RNAcentral.